UACAGAGGUCCCAAGCGUUGUUCGGAUUCAUUGGGCGUAAAGGGUGCGUAGGUGGCGCCGUAAGUCGGGUGUGAAAUUUCGGAGCUUAACUCCGAAACUGCAUUCGAUACUGCGGUGCUUGGGGACUGGAGAGGAGACUGGAAUUCAUGGUGUAGCAGUGAAAUGCGUAGAGAUCAUGAGGAAGACCAGUGGCGAAGGCGGGUCUCUGGACAGUUCCUGACACUGAGGCACGAAGGCCAGGGGAGCAAACGGG
RNAcentral lists this ribosomal RNA (253 nucleotides) under uncultured bacterium. RNAcentral describes it as "partial 16S ribosomal RNA". It matches the Rfam family "Bacterial small subunit ribosomal RNA", at positions 524 to 776 of the family's 1533-position model. The record is from RNAcentral.